GCUAGUUUUUACCCAGGCUCUCUGUCUUCCUGGGGCUCUUAAAUUAGCGGUAGCGGACAUGCCCCGUCUGUGCUGUCUGCAGAGAGAACAGUGGACUCUCCAUGUCUCCAUCCAAAUCAUGGGUAGCAUCUUUAACAGUGAGGCAGAAGGUGAAACUCCUCUCUGCUCAAGGUCUGAGCAUGGUGCUCACCAGCUAACCGGACAUCUUUGGCUUUACUGUGGGUUUCUAAUCAGCCAAACUGUACGCUCACACACUCAUCUAACACUUGAGGCCAGGAUUCUUUACUGUUCCUUUUUGUGACUGAAGCCAGUUUUCUGCCUCAACCUCCGUUCUUGUCUUCCUCCUUAGCAAGAGAACCCUAAUUUUCAGCUCGGCUGAUCCCAGUCUCUCUCAAGACCAGCUGUGUCUGGGUGUCUCCAUUCUGACCAAUGGGUUAUAAGUAAAGAGCUGUGUGGUGGAACUUUGGACAAAUCUCCCCUAAAAAUAACGGACUCAGCUGGGAGGAGGCAGCCCUUCCUCCUCCCUGAUGUUUAAAUGCGGAUGUAGGGGCUCAGUCAGAAGCAGCCAUCAUGAUCAUGAGGUGACCUUGAGCAUAAAGGAGAGAAGUUUAGCUUCUGCUGACCUGGAAUCAAUCUUUCCAAGUCUUGGAAACCAGGACUUUGAAAAGUCUCUUGAAAGGUCAUUAGGAAAGAACAAAGGGUGUUUUGUCAGCGUGCAUUUCAGAAGCGCCCCUGAUAGGAGGAGCUACAAAAGCCUUUCUUUGGAGACUUCAGCCAUCUCUAACAGUUUCCUUUGAAAUCUCUAAUUAUACUCUAAAAAGAAGGCAUCAUUGGAGCCAGAACCAGCAGCCAAUUACCCACGAGAAAUCACUCUCUGUGUGGGCUGUCUUCUCUCUCUGUUCGCAUAAUUUCAAAAUGCAAUUUCUAGAACCAUGCUAAAUACUUGUAAACAGAGAUUGGUUUAAUUGCAAAAGGGGGACCAUUUCAGGGGGGUAAAAAUAGCAGUUGUCUCUCCUUGUCACCGAGCUGUCCUCUUUGGGUCACUUUUCAAAUUCCUUCCACCAAGUUCAGGGCCAUCGGCAACUCCAGUCAGAGGCGCUGACUUCAAAAGCAGGUGGAGGUUCCCAUGGGUGGUGGAAAAGCCUAACACUUGGAAUUAGAAGACCCAGGUUUGAGUUCCAGCUCUAGUUAUUGUGAGGCCACAGCCAUUAGCAUGCUGACUAGCCUUCACAUGCCUCAGAUUCCCCAUCUCAAAACUGGCCACAGAAGGAACUAAGUGGGUGAGGCAUCUAUGUAAACUGUAAUGAGCCCUCAUGGAAAGUGAGCCUUGUAAAGCAGUCUCUAGGCUGCUGCCUGUCUUCUCUGGCAUCCUAGCAGUGCCUGGAAGACUGGAGGUGUCUGUAUCAGCCAUGACCAUGUCAGACUGCCGCACCAUGGGAACUGCAAAGUGGUGGUAGCUGGCCACCAUCGAUGUUUGCUUUUCUUAGGUCUGAUCUGGAUGGAGCGUGGCUGGUAUCUGCUGGCCCGGUUCAUGCACCUGUACUUCAACUGGGCAAUGUAGCUGGGAGAGUUGUGCUCCACGGGUUUCUCCUGCUUGUCUGAGGACUAAAGGCUAGCUGGAGCCUGGCUUUUCAUGAUGGUAGCAGAAAGGCCGGAGGAAGCAAAACAGCCUACCUGUGCUGUAGUAAGACCCCACUCGUCAGAGGAGGAGGAUGUGCGGCCACAUAGCAUCCAGAGAUGGGAACUCCAUCCAGUAGGAAGACAAUGCAAAGUUCCCUGGUACAGAACCCUGACAGAGGAAGGCAUCUCUCUGUGAACUCACUCCUCACUGAUGGCUGCCAGGACUGCAGUUGAUAUUGAAGGUGGUACCCAGACACGCUGAGCCCAUUGGAGAAGUUGCACAAGACUGAGGAGGGAAGUUUAGAACUGAAAAACAGUGAGACAUGCAGUGGAGGCCAAAGAAGACAAGAGGGACUGUCCUGGCUUUGGAACUCCCCCCCCCAACCCUUCAAAAGGAUCAGCCCAGGGUCCCCAACUGAGGGGGAGGAGCUGCUGGCCAGAAGGAAUGGGUGAGGGAAGAGCUCUGGAGUGAGAAGAACCAGGACUUCUGUCAGACAUACCGAACUCAAAGGACUCUAUUAACCUUGGGACCUUGAAUCCUGCCUCAGUUUCCUCUUCUGUAAAACAGAGAUCAAGUCUCUUAUUUCUCAGGAUUAUUGUAAGGAUUAAAACAGACAUGGAUUAGAAGAUUAUAAACAAUGAAAUAAAGAUCAUACGAUCACAGCAGAGAAUUAAACUCCUCAGGCACAAAACUUUCAAGAACACAAGAGAGGACACUCUAGCACACUCACAGAGACAGGACCUAGCCAUCUUGCUUCCGUAGUAGCCCCCAGAGUGACACUACCAAUAAACUGAUCAAAUGUUUAUCAGGUGGCUGUAACGUGGGAUGCAAGUGGGGGGGAGAUCUGUAAAAAAUAGGCAAGUUCAAGAGAGGUUGGCUAGAUCCCUAGAAAGAUGUGCAAGACACCAGGAUAAAUACAGGUACCUUAUUAACUUAGGGUGCCUGUCUGACUCUUGGCGAAUUCCUAGUUCCUAGGAUUUGAUGGG
Molecule: long non-coding RNA, 2607 nt
Organism: Peromyscus californicus insignis
Lineage: Eukaryota; Metazoa; Chordata; Mammalia; Rodentia; Cricetidae
Exons: 3
Source: RefSeq, a predicted model, not a curated record